GCGCUUGCUUCGUCAGCACAUACACUAAAAUUGGAAUAAUACAGAGAAGAUUGGUGUGGCCUCUGUGCAAAAGAUGACACAAAUUCAUGAAGAAAAGGUGAUAUUGUCU
This is a small nuclear RNA of Lontra canadensis (Northern American river otter), 109 nucleotides long. NCBI's taxonomy places the organism in Eukaryota, Metazoa, Chordata, Mammalia, Carnivora, Mustelidae. The record is from RefSeq and is a predicted model, not a curated record.